Molecule: long non-coding RNA, 266 nt
Organism: Mytilus trossulus (common blue mussel)
Lineage: Eukaryota; Metazoa; Mollusca; Bivalvia; Mytilida; Mytilidae
Exons: 3
Source: RefSeq, a predicted model, not a curated record
UUGUUAUAUCUUUGUUCCAGAGUUUGCUACUAUUUCUUAAACGAAAUUUCGUCAACAUGAUUGUACUUGCUAUGCAGAUUUUCGUAGGAGCUAUGGAGAUGUUCAAAUGGCUUAACACAGAAGAACCAGCUACCGUUGGUAAUAAGACGAAAGAUGAGAAUCAUAACACAACUACCAUCAGCACUGAAGCCGAGCAGAACCUUCUUUCGACAUCCAGGGACACGAAUGACACGGGUGUCAAAUCUAAUUAAGAGAAGGCCAAUAAA